RNAcentral lists this ribosomal RNA (459 nucleotides) under uncultured bacterium. RNAcentral describes it as "partial 16S ribosomal RNA". It matches the Rfam family "Bacterial small subunit ribosomal RNA", at positions 338 to 795 of the family's 1533-position model. The record is from RNAcentral.
CCUACGGGUGGCAGCAGUGAGGAAUAUUGGUCAAUGGGCGCGAGUCUGAACCAGCCAAGUAGCGUGAAGGAUGACUGCCCUACGGGUUGUAAACUUCUUUUAUAAAGGAGUAAAGUGAGCCACGCGUGCCGUUUUGAAUGUACUCGAUGAAUAAGGAUCGGCUAACUCCGUGCCAGCAGCCGCGGUAAUACGGAGGAUCCGAGCGUUAUCCGGAUUUAUUGGGUUUAAAGGGUGCGUAGGCGGAUGUUUAAGUUAGUGGUAAAAUGUCGGGGCUUCACCUUGAUGUGCCAUUGAUACUGUAAGUCUUGAGUUAAGACGAGGUAGGCGGAAUGAGUUAAGUAGCGGUGAAAUGCUUAGAUAUAACGUAGAACUCCGAUAGCGAAGGCAGCUUACCAGACUUCGACUGACGCUGAAGCACGAGAGCGUGGGUAGCGAACAGGAUUAGAUACCCUGGUAGUC